RNAcentral lists this ribosomal RNA (437 nucleotides) under uncultured Planctomycetota bacterium. RNAcentral's name for it is "bacterial SSU rRNA". It matches the Rfam family "Bacterial small subunit ribosomal RNA", at positions 383 to 810 of the family's 1533-position model. The record is from RNAcentral. Lineage: Bacteria; Pseudomonadati; Planctomycetota.
GUGACGAAGCGACGCCGCGUGUGGGAAGAAGGCCUUCGGGUUGUAAACCACUGUCAGGAGUUAAGAAAUGUAAGGGUGCUAAUAGUAUCCUUACUUGACUAAGGCUCCAGAGGAAGCCACGGCUAACUCUGUGCCAGCAGCCGCGGUAAUACAGAGGUGGCAAGCGUUGUUCGGAAUUAUUGGGCGUAAAGAGCACGUAGGCGGUUCUGCAAGUCGGCUGUGAAAGCCUUCCGCUCAACGGAAGAACAGCAGUUGAUACUACAGGACUAGAGUGCGGGAGGGGAGAGUGGAACUUCUGGUGGAGCGGUGAAAUGCGUAGAUAUCAGAAAGAACGCCGGCGGCGAAAGCGACUCUCUGGCCCGUAACUGACGCUGAGUGUGCGAAAGCUAGGGGAGCAAACGGGAUUAGAUACCCCGGUAGUCCUAGCCGUAAACGAU